GUGCUCACUUUGGCAGCACAUAUACUAAAAUUGGAAUGAUACAGAGAUUAGCAUGACCCCUGUGCAGAGAUGGCACUCAAAUUCAUGAAGUGUUCCAUAUUUUA
This is a small nuclear RNA of Homo sapiens (human), 104 nucleotides long. NCBI's taxonomy places the organism in Eukaryota, Metazoa, Chordata, Mammalia, Primates, Hominidae. The record is from Ensembl.